AGGCUCUGGGGUGUAACAUAUAUGGUUGCAAACCAUAAGAUACAGGGUGAUUCCUGUCGGGGCCUA
Molecule: transfer RNA, 66 nt
Filed under: Elachistocleis ovalis (common oval frog)
Lineage: Eukaryota; Metazoa; Chordata; Amphibia; Anura; Microhylidae
Description: tRNA-Cys
Rfam family: tRNA
About the family: Transfer RNA (tRNA) molecules are approximately 80 nucleotides in length.
Source: RNAcentral